This 253-nucleotide ribosomal RNA is filed under the name uncultured bacterium. RNAcentral's name for it is "partial 16S ribosomal RNA". It matches the Rfam family "Bacterial small subunit ribosomal RNA", at positions 524 to 776 of the family's 1533-position model. The record is from RNAcentral.
UACAGAGGGGGCUAGCGUUGUUCGGAAUUACUGGGCGUAAAGGGUGCGUAGGCGGCCCGCUAAGUCGAACGUGAAAUCCCCGGGCUCAACCCGGGAACUGCGUCCGAUACUGGCAGGCUUGAAUCCGGGAGAGGGAUGUGGAAUUCCAGGUGUAGCGGUGAAAUGCGUAGAUAUCUGGAGGAACACCGGUGGCGAAGGCGGCAUCCUGGACCGGUAUUGACGCUGAGGCGCGAAAGCCAGGGGAGCAAACGGG